Molecule: ribosomal RNA, 490 nt
Filed under: uncultured bacterium
Lineage: Bacteria
Description: partial 16S ribosomal RNA
Rfam family: Bacterial small subunit ribosomal RNA
Source: RNAcentral
AUUGAACGCUGGCGGCAGGCCUAACACAUGCAAGUCGAACGGUAACAGGAAGCAGCUUGCUGCUUUGCUGACGAGUGGCGGGCGGGUGAGUAAUGUCUGGGAAACUGCCUGAUGGAGGGGGAUAACUACUGGAAACGGUAGCUAAUACCGCAUAACGUCGCAAGACCAAAGAGGGGGACCUUAGGGCCUCUUGCCAUCGGAUGUGCCCAGAUGGGAUUAGCUAGUAGGUGGGGUAACGGCUCACCUAGGCGACGAUCCCUAGCUGGUCUGAGAGGAUGACCAGCCACACUGGAACUGAGACACGGUCCAGACUCCUACGGGAGGCAGCAGUGGGGAAUAUUGCACAAUGGGCGCAAGCCUGAUGCAGCCAUGCCGCGUGUAUGAAGAAGGCCUUCGGGUUGUAAAGUACUUUCAGCGGGGAGGAAGGGAGUAAAGUUAAUACCUUUGCUCAUUGACGUUACCCGCAGAAGAAGCACCGGCUAACUCCGUG